GCAAAGCACUGUAAAAAAGGAAGUCUUCCUCAUAAACGUAAUGUUUAAUUUUUACUCCUGUGUAUUCUGCAAUUGCAAGAGAUUCCAUGAAGAGGUUGCAUCUUACCCUUUCAUGCUGAGCAGUUUAGAGAGAAUUUGAUACAAUGAUUUUCAAGCAUGGAAGACUCUGGAGUGUCAUUUUCUUCAACGAUCCAAAUGGGUGUAGGAGAAUAUACCCUAGGUUUUCGUUACAGGGGCCAGGACCAGUUUAUUACUGUGUGGGUACAAUCAAAACUGUGUGUAUUCUACACUCUCUAUGUCAUUUCUGAUGGACUGCUAAUAAUGGGUCAUUUGCAGUAGCUGCCUAGGGCACACCUAAUGACUCAGCUCUGGGGAGACUCAGCCUGAGGGGUCAUCUUUGCUAAUGGGCCAUACUGGACUGACAUAAUAGGCAGCUGCAACACCUAGACCAUCAAAGACUCAAAAAAA
Long non-coding RNA from Lepidothrix coronata (blue-crowned manakin), 468 nucleotides. RefSeq lists it as uncharacterized. The transcript has 3 exons. NCBI's taxonomy places the organism in Eukaryota, Metazoa, Chordata, Aves, Passeriformes, Pipridae. The record is from RefSeq and is a predicted model, not a curated record.